Molecule: ribosomal RNA, 207 nt
Filed under: uncultured bacterium
Lineage: Bacteria
Description: partial 16S ribosomal RNA
Rfam family: Bacterial small subunit ribosomal RNA
Source: RNAcentral
CGUGCAGGCGGUCCGGUAAGUUGGAUGUGAAAUCUCCUGGCUCAACUGGGAGAGGACGUUCAAUACUGUCGGACUCGAGGACGGUAGAGGGAGGUGGAAUUCCCGGUGUAGUGGUGAAAUGCGUAGAUAUCGGGAGGAACACCAGUGGCGAAGGCGGCCUCCUGGACCGUUCCUGACGCUCAGACGCGAAAGCUAGGGGAGCGAACG